GAUGAACGCUGGCGGCGUGCCUAAUACAUGCAAGUUGAGCGAACAGACGAGGAGCUUGCUCCUCUGACGUUAGCGGCGGACGGGUGAGUAACACGUGGAUAACCUACCUAUAAGACUGGGAUAACUUCGGGAAACCGGAGCUAAUACCGGAUAAUAUAUUGAACCGCAUGGUUCAAUAGUGAAAGACGGUUUUGCUGUCACUUAUAGAUGGAUCCGCGCCGCAUUAGCUAGUUGGUAAGGUAACGGCUUACCAAGGCAACGAUGCGUAGCCGACCUGAGAGGGUGAUCGGCCACACUGGAACUGAGACACGGUCCAGACUCCUACGGGAGGCAGCAGUAGGGAAUCUUCCGCAAUGGGCGAAAGCCUGACGGGGCAACGCCGCGUGAGUGAUGAAGGUCUUCGGAUCGUAAAACUCUGUUAUUAGGGAAGAACAAAUGUGUAAGUAACUAUGCACGUCUUGACGGUACCUAAUCAGAAAGCCACGGCUAACUACGUG
This 497-nucleotide ribosomal RNA is filed under the name uncultured bacterium. RNAcentral's name for it is "partial 16S ribosomal RNA". It matches the Rfam family "Bacterial small subunit ribosomal RNA", at positions 28 to 507 of the family's 1533-position model. The record is from RNAcentral.